ACUGGAGGACCGAACCGACUAAUGUUGAAAAAUUAGCGGAUGACUUGUGGCUAGGGGUGAAAGGCCAAUCAAACUCGGAGAUAGCUGGUUCUCCCCGAAAGCUAUUUAGGUAGCGCCUCGGACGAAUACUACUGGGGGUAGAGCACUGUUAAGGCUAGGGGGUCAUCCCGACUUACCAACCCUUUGCAAACUCCGAAUACCAGUAAGUACUAUCCGGGAGACACACGGCGGGUGCUAACGUCCGUCGUGGAGAGGGAAACAACCCAGACCGCCAGCUAAGGUCCCAAAGUAUUGCUAAGUGGGAAACGAUGUGGGAAGGCUCAGACAGCUAGGAUGUUGGCUUAGAAGCAGCCAUCAUUUAAAGAAAGCGUAAUAGCUCACUAGUCGAGUCGGCCUGCGCGGAAGAUGUAACGGGGCUAAGCAAUACACCGAAGCUGCGGCAAUAUCUUUUAGAUAUUGGGUAGGGGAGCGUUCUGUAAGCCGUUGAAGGUGAAUCGUAAGGUUUGCUGGAGGUAUCAGAAGUGCGAAUGCUGACAUGAGUAACGACAAAGGGGGUGAAAAACCUCCUCGCCGGAAGACCAAGGGUUCCUGUCCAACGUUAAUCGGGGCAGGGUGAGUCGACCCCUAAGGUGAGGCCGAAAGGCGUAAUCGAUGGGAAACGGGUUAAUAUUCCCGUACUUCUGACUAUUGCGAUGGGGGGACGGAGAAGGCUAGGUGGGCCAGGCGACGGUUGUCCUGGUUCAAGUGCGUAGGCUUGAGAGUUAGGUAAAUCCGGCUCUCUCUAAGGCUGAGACACGACGUCGAGCUACUACGGUAGUGAAGUCAUUGAUGCCAUGCUUCCAGGAAAAGCCUCUAAG
This 857-nucleotide ribosomal RNA is filed under the name Vibrio cholerae. RNAcentral describes it as "bacterial LSU rRNA". It matches the Rfam family "Bacterial large subunit ribosomal RNA", at positions 765 to 1625 of the family's 2925-position model. Lineage: Bacteria; Pseudomonadati; Pseudomonadota; Gammaproteobacteria; Vibrionales; Vibrionaceae. The record is from RNAcentral.